This 223-nucleotide ribosomal RNA is filed under the name uncultured bacterium. Its description in RNAcentral is "partial 16S ribosomal RNA". It matches the Rfam family "Bacterial small subunit ribosomal RNA", at positions 524 to 746 of the family's 1533-position model. The record is from RNAcentral.
UACGGAGGGUGCAAGCGUUAAUCGGAGUUACUGGGCGUAAAGCGCACGCAGGCGGUUUGUUAAGUCAGAUGUGAAAUCCCCGGGCUCAACCUGGGAACUGCAUUUGAAACUGGCAAGCUAGAGUCUCGUAGAGGGGGGUAGAAUUCCAGGUGUAGCGGUGAAAUGCUUAGAGAUCUGGAGGAAUCCCUGUGGCGAAGGCUGCCCCCUGGACGAAGACUGACGC